AGUGAACGCUGGCGGUAGGCCUAACACAUGCAAGUCGAACGGCAGCACAGUAAGAGCUUGCUCUUACGGGUGGCGAGUGGCGGACGGGUGAGGAAUACAUCGGAACCUACUUUUUCGUGGGGGAUAACGUAGGGAAACUUACGCUAAUACCGCAUACGACCUACGGGUGAAAGCAGGGGAUCUUCGGACCUUGCGCGAUUGAAUGAGCCGAUGUCGGAUUAGCUAGUUGGCGGGGUAAAGGCUCACCAAGGCGACGAUCCGUAGCUGGUCUGAGAGGAUGAUCAGCCACACUGGAACUGAGACACGGUCCAGACUCCUACGGGAGGCAGCAGUGGGGAAUAUUGGACAAUGGGCGCAAGCCUGAUCCAGCCAUACCGCGUGGGUGAAGAAGGCCUUCGGGUUGUAAAGCCCUUUUGUUGGGAAAGAAAAGCAGCAGGUUAAUACCCCGCUGUUCUGACGGUACCCAAAGAAUAAGCACCGGCUAACUUCGUG
RNAcentral lists this ribosomal RNA (492 nucleotides) under uncultured bacterium. RNAcentral describes it as "partial 16S ribosomal RNA". It matches the Rfam family "Bacterial small subunit ribosomal RNA", at positions 29 to 507 of the family's 1533-position model. The record is from RNAcentral.